UGAGGAAUUUUGCGCAAUGGGAGCAAUCCUGACGCAGCAACGCCGCGUGAGUGAUGAAGGCCUUCGGGUCGUAAAGCUCUGUCAGGUGGGAAGAACAUCCAUGGCAAGAAUACGGUCAUGGAGUGACGGUACCACCAGAGGAAGCACCGGCUAACUCCGUGCCAGCAGCCGCGGUAAUAAGGAGGGUGCGAGCGUUAUUCGGAAUUACUGGGCGUAAAGCGCGUGCAGGCGGGAAGACAAGUCGGAUGUGAAAGCCCCGGGCUUAACCGGGGAAGUGCAUUGGGAACUGUUUUUCUUGAGUACUGGAGAGGAAGGGGGAAUUCCCGGUGUAGAGGUGAAAUUCGUAGAGAUCGGGAGGAAUAUCAGUGGCGAAGGCGCCCUUCUGGACGGAUACUGACGCUGAGACGCGAAAGCGUGGGGAGCAAACA
This 428-nucleotide ribosomal RNA is filed under the name uncultured prokaryote. RNAcentral describes it as "bacterial SSU rRNA". It matches the Rfam family "Bacterial small subunit ribosomal RNA", at positions 355 to 774 of the family's 1533-position model. The record is from RNAcentral.